UACGUAGGGUGCGAGCGUUAAUCGGAAUUACUGGGCGUAAAGCGUGCGCAGGCGGUUUUGUAAGACAGAUGUGAAAUCCCCGGGCUCAACCUGGGACCUGCAUUUGUGACUGCAAGGCUAGAGUACGGUAGAAGGGGAUGGAAUUCCGCGUGUAGCAGUGAAAUGCGUAGAUAUGCGGAGGAACACCGAUGGCGAAGGCAAUCCCCUGGACCUGUACUGACGCUCGUGCACGAAAGCUAGGGUAGCAAAUGGG
Molecule: ribosomal RNA, 253 nt
Filed under: uncultured bacterium
Lineage: Bacteria
Description: partial 16S ribosomal RNA
Rfam family: Bacterial small subunit ribosomal RNA
Source: RNAcentral